UAAACCGAACGCCGAGGGUUAAAAUCCCUCCUACUGCU
Molecule: transfer RNA, 38 nt
Filed under: Odontesthes argentinensis
Lineage: Eukaryota; Metazoa; Chordata; Actinopteri; Atheriniformes; Atherinopsidae
Description: partial tRNA-Thr
Source: RNAcentral